GAUGAACGCUGACAGAAUGCUUAACACAUGCAAGUCGAAGGGGAAGUGGUGCUUGCACCAUGGCAACCAUGGCGGACGGGUGAGUAACGCGUAAGGGACUUACCUGCAGGACUGGGAUAACAGGGGGAAACUCCUGACAAGACCUGAUAAUGUCAUGGAGCUGCAUGGCUUUAUGAUGAAAGGAGACGCCUGCGGAGAGCCUUGCGUCCUAUUAGCUAGUUGGUGAGGUAAUGGCUCACCAAGGCGAAGAUAGGGAGCCGGCCUGAGAGGGUGGACGGCCACGAGGGGUCUGAGAUGCGGCCCUUACGCCUACGGGAGGCAGCAGGGGGGAAUAUUGGACCCUGGGGGCAACCCUGAUGCAGGACUUCUGUGUGCACGAAGAAGGUUUUCGGAUUGUAAAGUGCUUUCAGAAGGGAAGAAGUAAGUGACGGUACCUGCAGAAGAAGCGACGGCUAACUACGUG
RNAcentral lists this ribosomal RNA (463 nucleotides) under uncultured bacterium. Its description in RNAcentral is "partial 16S ribosomal RNA". It matches the Rfam family "Bacterial small subunit ribosomal RNA", at positions 28 to 507 of the family's 1533-position model. The record is from RNAcentral.